UACGGAGGGGGUUAGCGUUGUUCGGAAUUACUGGCGUAAAGCGCGCGUAGGCGGAUUAGAAAGUUGGGGGUGAAAUCCCGGGGCUCAACCCCGGAACUGCCUCCAAAACUACUAGUCUAGAGUUCGAGAGAGGUGAGUGGAAUUCCGAGUGUAGAGAUGAAAUUCGUAGAUAUUCGGAGGAACACCAGUGGCGAAGGCGGCUCACUGGCUCGAUACUGACGCUGAGGUGCGAAAGUGUGGGGAGCAAACAGG
Molecule: ribosomal RNA, 252 nt
Filed under: uncultured bacterium
Lineage: Bacteria
Description: partial 16S ribosomal RNA
Rfam family: Bacterial small subunit ribosomal RNA
Source: RNAcentral